RNAcentral lists this transfer RNA (74 nucleotides) under Andreesenia angusta. RNAcentral's name for it is "Eubacterium angustum tRNA". It matches the Rfam family "tRNA". Rfam says of the family: Transfer RNA (tRNA) molecules are approximately 80 nucleotides in length. Lineage: Bacteria; Bacillati; Bacillota; Tissierellia; Tissierellales; Gottschalkiaceae. The record is from Rfam by way of RNAcentral.
GGGAAAGUAGCUCAGCUGGUUAGAGUGCCACCUCGACAAGGUGGAAGUCGCUGGUUCGACCCCAGUCUUUCCUA